This 600-nucleotide ribosomal RNA is filed under the name uncultured bacterium. RNAcentral's name for it is "bacterial SSU rRNA". It matches the Rfam family "Bacterial small subunit ribosomal RNA", at positions 736 to 1340 of the family's 1533-position model. The record is from RNAcentral.
GCCACUGACGCUGAGGCACGAAAGCGUGGGGAUAGAACAGGAUUAGAUACCCUGGUAUUCCACGCCGUAAACGAUGAUGGCUAACCGCCGGCGACACAUUGUCGGUGGCCAAGCGAAAGCGAUAAGCCAUCCACCUGGGGAGUACGACCGCAAGGUUGAAACUCAAAGGAAUUGACGGGGGCCCGCACAAGCGGAGGAACAUGUGGUUUAAUUCGAUGAUACGCGAGGAACCUUACCCGGGCUCGAACGGCAAAGGAAGGAUCAGGAGACUGUGACGCCCUUCGGGGCCUUUGUCGAGGUGCUGCAUGGUUGUCGUCAGCUCGUGCCGUGAGGUGUCGGCUCAAGUGCCAUAACGAGCGCAACCCUUGCCGUCAGUUGCCAUCAAGUAGUGUUGGGGACUCUGGCGGGACUGCCACCGCAAGGUGUGAGGAGGGGGGGGAUGACGUCAAAUCAGCACGGCCCUUACGUCCGGGGCGACACACGUGUUACAAUGGCGGCCACAGAGGGAAGCUACCCCGCGAGGGGAUGCGGAUCUCGAAAAGCCGUCCCAGUUCGGAUCGCAGUCUGCAACCCGACUGCGUGAAGUUGGAUUCGCUAGUA